Molecule: unclassified non-coding RNA, 1149 nt
Filed under: uncultured Bordetella sp.
Lineage: Bacteria; Pseudomonadati; Pseudomonadota; Betaproteobacteria; Burkholderiales; Alcaligenaceae
Description: partial 16S-23S ribosomal RNA intergenic spacer
Rfam family: Bacterial small subunit ribosomal RNA
Source: RNAcentral
GAGGGUUUGAUUCUGGCUCAGAUUGAACGCUGGCGGGAUGUCUUUACACAUGCAAGUCGAACGGCAACACGGACUUCGGUCUGGUGGCGAGUGGCGAACGGGUGAGUAAUGUAUCGGAACGUGCCUAGUAGCGGGGGAUAACUACGCGAAAGCGCUCGCUAAUACCACAUACGCCCUUCGAGGCGGGGACACUUCGGGCCUCGCACUAUUAGAGCGGCCGAUAUCGGAUUAAAGCUAGUUGGUGGGGUAACGGCUCACCAAGGCGACGAUCCGUAGCUGGUUUGAGAGGACGACCAGCCACACUGGGACUGGGAAUACGUGGCCAGACUCCUACAGGAGGCAGCAGUGGGGAAUUUUGGACAAUGGGGGAAACCCUGAUCCAGCCAUCGCAUUGUGCGAUGAAGGCCUUCGGGUUGUAAAGCACUUUUGGCAGGAAAGAAACGGCACGGGAUAUGCCCGUGCAACUGACGGUACCUGCAGAAUAAGCACCGGCUAACUACGUGCCAGCAGCCGCGGUAAUACGUAGGGUGCAAGCGUUAAUCGGAGGUACUGGGCGUAAAGCGUGCGCGAGCGGUUCGGAAAGAAGAUGUGAAAUCCCAGAGCUUAACUUUGGAACUGCAUUUUUAACUACCGAGCUAGAGUGUGUCAGAGGGAGGUGGAAUUCCGCGUGUAGCAGUGAAAUGCGUAGAUAUGCGGAGGAACACCGAUGGCGAAGGCAGCCUCCUGGGAUAACACUGACGCUCAUGCACGAAAGCAUUAAGGAACAAACGGGAUUAGAUACCCUGUCAUUGAUCCACUUCCUAAACGAUGUCGCUAGCUGUUGGGGCCUUCGGGCCUUGGUAGCGCAACUAACGCGUGAAGUUGACCGCCUGGGAGAUACCGGUCGCAAGAUUAAAACUCAAAAGGAAUUGACGGGGACCCGCACAAGCGGUGGAUGAUGUGGAUUAAUUCGAUGCAACGCGAAAAAGCCUUACCUACCCUUGACAUGUCUGGAAUCCCGAAGAGAUUUGGAGUGCUCGCAGAGAACCAGACGCUUACAGGUGCUGCAUGGCUGUCGUCAGCUCGUGUCGUGAGAUGUUGGGUUAAGUCCGCAACGAGCGCAACCCUUGUCAUUAGUUGCUACGAAAGGGCACUCUAAUGGGCCUGCCA